RNAcentral lists this ribosomal RNA (375 nucleotides) under Isonychia valida. RNAcentral describes it as "partial 16S rRNA". Lineage: Eukaryota; Metazoa; Arthropoda; Insecta; Ephemeroptera; Isonychiidae. The record is from RNAcentral.
GGUAACUUAGUCUUCUAAUCACAAUAAGUGGAUCAAUCAUUCACUCAUCUGUGUUCUUUAAAAAGAAAAGUUAAUUUUAUCUUCCUGUCACCCCAACAGAAUAGCUUUUAAGUAUGACCCAACUCUACCUAACUUUGUUGUACUUAUACACUAUAAAGAUCUAUAGGGUCUUCUCGUCCUCCAAUUACAUUUCAGCCUUUUCACUGAAAAGUUAAAUUCAAUAAUGGUCCAAAUGAGACAGCUCGUACCUCGUCCAACCCUUCAUGCCAGCCUUUAAUUAAAAGACUAAUGAUUAUGCUACCUUUGCACGGUCAAAAUACCGCGGCCCUUCAACUUUCAGUGGGCAGGUCAGACCUCUUAGAUAAUCAAGAGGCG